CCUACGGGUGGCAGCAGUGAGGAAUAUUGGUCAAUGGACGAGAGUCUGAACCAGCCAAGUAGCGUGAAGGAUGACUGCCCUAUGGGUUGUAAACUUCUUGUAUAAAGGAAUAAAACGAGGCACGUGUGCCUUUUUGCAUGUACUUUAUGAAUAAGGAUCGGCUAACUCCGUGCCAGCAGCCGCGGUAAUACGGAGGAUCCGAGCGUUAUACGGAUGUAUUGGGUUUAAAGGGAGCGUAGAGGGGUUGUUAAGUCAGUGGGGAAAGUUUGCGGCUCAACCGUAAAAUUGCAAUUGAUACUGGCAGUCUUUCUUACAGUUGCGGUAAGCGGACUUCGUGUUGUAGCGG
Molecule: ribosomal RNA, 346 nt
Filed under: uncultured bacterium
Lineage: Bacteria
Description: partial 16S ribosomal RNA
Rfam family: Bacterial small subunit ribosomal RNA
Source: RNAcentral